This 253-nucleotide ribosomal RNA is filed under the name uncultured bacterium. Its description in RNAcentral is "partial 16S ribosomal RNA". It matches the Rfam family "Bacterial small subunit ribosomal RNA", at positions 524 to 776 of the family's 1533-position model. The record is from RNAcentral.
UACGUAGGGUGCAAGCGUUGUCCGGAAUUAUUGGGCGUAAAGAGCUCGUAGGCGGUUUGUCGCGUCUGCUGUGAAAACUCGGGGCUUAACCCCGGGCCUGCAGUGGGUACGGGCAGACUAGAGUGCGGUAGGGGAGACUGGAAUUCCUGGUGUAGCGGUGAAAUGCGUAGAUAUCGAGAGGAACACCUGCGGCGAAGGCGGGUUGCUGGGCCGACACUGACGCUGAUGCGCGAAAGCCAGGGGAGCGAACGGG